Long non-coding RNA from Homo sapiens (human), 5362 nucleotides. The record is from Ensembl. NCBI's taxonomy places the organism in Eukaryota, Metazoa, Chordata, Mammalia, Primates, Hominidae.
GAUAUCAUUUGAGGUUAAGUGUAAUUAAGACAGCAACUUUAAUGAAAUGACAAUUUUUGAAAUUUACUGUUCUUAAAAAAAUUAGUACAGCAACGAUAUUAAUUCUAGUAUAAUUGUUGGAGGAACUGUCUUACAGUCAGUGCUGAAAUGCCUGCUAAUCUUGUUAUCAAAUAAGAAUUCUAAAUUUUAUCAAUACCCACUUUAUGAGCAAUUUCAGCAUUAAUUAGAUUAAAAAAUGUUUAUUGUGUGUCUGCUAUGUGUGAGGCAUUGCUUGCCUCAUUUAGCAACAAAAUAAUUAGCUCGUGUUAUAUUUGAGAAAUCUGAAUUAUAGGGAAGUGUAUUCUAGAUAUAGAUCAUGUCUUUUAGGACCAUUUAAAUCUAAUAUUUAUUGCACUUGUGCCAAUUUUCAAGUUCUCCAAGUUGUUGAGAUUAUUGCCAAUAAGAAUACUGUCUUUGUUCCAGGGCAUGAACGUUUGGAUGCUAAGUGUCAGGGUUCAUCUAAGGUAAGAAGUAGGCUUUGAAGUUGCCUGAUGUGUUACUUGAUUUCUUCUUUAAAAAAAUUUAAUUUUUUUUAGAGACAGGGUCUAGCUCUGUUACCCAGGCUGGAAUGCAGUGGUGCAAUCUCAGCUCACUGUAAAACUGCCAGGCUCGAGCAAUCUUCCUGCCUUAUCCUCCCGACUACUAGUGUGCCAUUUGAAUUGUCUUCCUAACAACUGAUGUGGCAAAGAAUCUAAGAUCAUGUUCUCUCAAUGCACCACACACAUGACAAUAUUUCAUCCCCACUGUUAGUUAUAUGGACUCCCAGAAAUAAAGUUUACCUUACUGAACAAGUUUUCUUUCUUUGAGUUGAGAAGUCUCCAUUAGAGAUUAGGUAUCCAGGAGGAUUUGGGUCAAAGCAGCAGAGGAUGAGCUCCAGUAGCAUUGAGAGAGAGGCCUCAAAUCUGAUUGCAUAUUAGAAUUAUCUGGGGCAGGUUUAUAAUUGCCAGUGCCUGGGCCUCUCCCAGAAUAAUUAAAUGAAAAUCUCUGGGAUUGGGGCCCAGGUGCUGGUAUUUUUAAAAAGCCACCAGGUGAUCCUAAUGUGUUCCCAAGGUUCAGAACUAGUGAUCUAUGUAAUAGCUAGAAUUUCUUAGUUUAGGCAAUUAAUGUAAAGGUGUUUUCAAAUAGUGCCUUUUCAAGAGGCAUGUUGUGAAACACUGUAUUUAUGUUAUCAAGUGGCUCACCAAAAUAAUGAGAACAUUUUUAGAUUGAUGCUUGGAUAACUACGGUAGCAGUUACAUAAUUUUCCAAAUACCUAAUAGGACUGCACUAUGAUAGUUAGCUGGAUGUUCCUUGAGCUGUAAAACAGGGUACAAAGACAAUCGUUUUCAUUUUUUAUUGGAGUUUGAUUAAUAUUCUCUCUGGGUCGAUGCGACCUUGGAAUUAAACAGUGAGGAUUGCAUGGUCCAUUUGCCAGGAUCUACAUAUUUUAUCUUUAAUUCUCCCAAUUAUGAAGGCCUGGCUAAGACUUCUGCUUGGAUCCUAAAUGAGGCACUCAUCAUAAUCUUGUCCUUCCAUUGGUGCAUGGUUUAUCACACACACAAAAACUCACCUAACUUUAAAAGGAGGUGAAGAGGACAUAUGCAGGGAGGACAUUGGGGUUUUUAUUCCAAGAUAAGUGAGUUGUACCAUCUGUGGACAGGCAUAGCAGUAAGUGGAAUAUUACUUGAAGCAUUUUAUCAGAACCUCUUUGCUACAGUUUGGAUGUUUGUUCCCUCCAAAGCUCAUGUUGAAAUUUGGUUGCCAUUGUAAUAGUAUUGAGACACAGUAUCUUUAACAGGUGAUUAGGCCAUGAAGGCUCCACUCUUGUGGGUGGGUUUAACGCCUUUAAAAAAUGGCUCUGGGAGUGGGCUCUGUCUCUCCCAUGUGUUUUCUUGCCCUUUGCUUUUCUGCCAUUGAAUGCCGCAGAUAGAAGGCCCUCACCAGAUGCGAGUCCCUCAGCCUUGGACUUCCAGCUUCCAGAACUGUAAGAAACAAAUUUAUUUUCCUUGUAAAUUACCCAGUCUCAGGUAGUCUGUUUAGCAGCAGCAAACAGACUAAGACAUUCUACCAUCAGAUUUGUGUUUCCCCAAUGACAUUGGAGUUCAAGGUCCAUUAGUGAGAUAUGGACAGGUACAGUGUGUUAGUGCAGAUGAACUAUUCAAUCUCAUUUUGGAGGGUUUCCAUCAUAAAACACAAAUGAUUUAGUCAAAGCAGCAUCUUCUGAAUUUCUUAGCUGACUUAUAAAAACAAAUAAGCCACUUUCUGUCUUUAUUAUUUUCUUCCCAGGAAGGGAGCUUUACAGUCAUGAGGGUAGUAAAUAAGUAUUACUUUUUAAAGAAGCUCUGGAGCUAUGGGGAUUUAAUAAAUAGUUCAUUGCUUCCCUAUCUCCACCAAAAUCUCUUCACUCUAACUGCAGCCUUGAAACCCAAGUGUUCGGGUUUGGACUUUUUUUUUUUUCUUUUGAGACACAGCGUCACUCUUGCCCAGGUUGGAAUACAGUGGUACGAUCUCGACUCAUUGCAACCUCUGCCUCCUGGGUUCAAGCGAUUCUCCUGCUCCAGUCUCCGGAGUAUAGCUGGGACUACAAGCACCUGCCACCACUUGCCCAGCUAAUUUUUGUAUUUUCAGUAGAGAUGGGGUUUCACCAUGUUGCUCAGGCUAGUCUUGAACUCCUAGCCUCAAGUGAUUCACCCACCUCAAUCUCCCAAAGUGCUGGGAUUACAGGCGUGAUCCACCGCUCCUAUCUAGGUUUUGGACUUUUAAUCUACCUCUUCUUAAUACCCUUCCCUCUUCUCUAAAAGCAAGAUAUAUUUAUAGCCUAUUUAUUACUUUGGGAUCAACUUCAAAUGUUUAUUUUUGGAUAAGAUGAGUGAGUUACAAAACUAGCAACCUGCAAAGUGUUUGAAAGUUUAACUGCUAUUUUUUCGGUUAUCCAUUCACCCAUUCAAUGAAUAUUAUUGAGGUGCUACUAUGUGCCAGGCACUUCUAGACAUGGUGGGGAUAUUAUAGUAAAUGGAACAGAUGGCAAUCCUUGCACACAUGGAAUAGUGAGGGAAAGAAAGUCACAGAGGCUGACACCAAUCACAAAUGGAAAAUGAUACAAGGUGUGUUAAGGGUUUUAAAAGAAAAAUGACAUAAAAAAUAUACAAAAACUUGACUCGGAAAUUGUACUUAAGAAAUAUAUCGUAAGGAAAUAAUUAUGUGCCCAAAUAUGCACGUACUAAAAUAUUCACUAUAUUUUUUAGCACAACAUUGAAAAGAAGAACUAGUUAAAUAAAGUUAAGGACUGAUUAAGGACUAGUUAAAUUAGAUGCUGCAGUCAUGUGUCGAAUGACAUAGAAAGAUGCUUACAAUACAUUAAAUGAAAAUUGCUGGUUUCAAAAUUGUAUGAUAUGAUUCCUCUAAAAGAGUAGUUUUCAAGCAGGAGUGAUUUUUGCCUCUGAGGGGCCAUUUGUGAAUGUCUGGAGACCCUUUAGGUUGUUACAAGCAGGGUGGAGGUUGGUGCUACUGGCCUUUAGUGAUUAGCAGUCAGGCAUGCCGCUGAACAUCCUGCAAUGCACAGGACAGCCCCCUACCACAAGUAAUUAUUUGGCUCAAAACGUCAGUAGUACUGAGAUUUAGAAAUCCUGCUUUUAAACAAUUACAAAUACCAUUGCAAGGACAAAUAUUUUCUGAAUAAAUAGCAUUAUGGAUGUUUUAAAUGUUAUUUUUCUUUGUGUGUUAAUUCAGAUGUUGCUUUAAAUGAGAAGUACUGACUUUGUAAUUAAAAACAAAAACUAUUUUAAAAUGUGCUAAAUUUUGGACCUAUCUCAGCCUGAGAAGGUUUUUUUCUAAAAAGGUUCAGGCAUCUUUUUAUUUUCCUACUGCUCUCCUUACCUGUGCACACCUCAUUGCCUGUAUCUGUGAUGCCUCUAUUUGGAGGGAACCUGGGUUAUGCCUGGGCCUGGUUUACUCCCAUAACAUGGGUUGCUGUACUUGCCCACUUAAUUGUGAGCUCUAUCCAUCCAGGAAAGUAAUCUGUUCCUUAUUUUGAAUAGCGUGUUCUUAGAAGUUCAUGGGUUCUAAUUGAAGGAAACUAGAGGGACCCCUUCCAUCCUUCAGCAAGGGUCCCCAAAGAUAGGCAGGGUGCCCAGAGAAUGCCUCAACUGCUGAGAACUCCACCCUUUCAGGUCCAGUGCAGGCUCAUCUCCAGAAAAGCUGGGUUAGAGUUGUCUCACUGUUUGGGUUGGAAUAUUGUGAUUUCUAGGAGUGGAAAUGCACUUGCUAAUUUAGCUAUCUCCUCUUUAUAAGACGCUCAUGGAAAUAAAGAUUAGCCAUAAAAUACCUUUAAUGAGCUUCCAAAUUUUAUCUGCAAGGAACCCAGGGCCUGUGGCAUUAUACUGGUUUGUAGAAGACUCCUGUGGUGUCUGCAGAAACUUUCUCUGGUGAAUAUCUAGAAUUUCCAUUACUUUGAAUGUGUACAUGUUAUUAAUCAAGGAAUUAAUCAUCCCCAUUCUCUUUGAUUGAAAGUCACAUUACCUUGGAAGGACAAGGUGUUGUCAAAUGGGCAAGGCAGAUCAUAUGUUUUCUUUUACUGGACUCCUUAUUUUUCUAAUUACAGCCUGUGUAUCCUGUGCUAGAGAGCCUCUUGAAAUUAACUUAAUUUACUAUCACACUUGUAACAUACCCAUUUAUUUGGGCCUGUGAAUAUGUGUGCACUCCAUUUGAUUACAUCUAAUGUUCUCCCUAAAUAAAGAGUACAAUUAAUUCAUUAGAGGAUGGUUUGUUUCCAGGGGUAAGUGCCAGUUUAUGAUGAUUCCAUCAACACUUGCACCACAUUAAUUUAUUUCCAAUUUAAUCAGUGUUUAAAUUGAACUGGGAUCAGGCAGAACAAAACACAUGGUUUUGCAUAAUUAUAAUGGAGCAAAUGGAAAUAGUCAUAGCACUUCAGCAUUAGAAACCUCACUGCAGAAGCACAGAUGGGUUAGGAGAUGUUGAUUAAAAAAGAUGUCUAGGAAUAAAUCCUCUGUAAGCACUGUAUUAAAAUCCAAGUGCCUGCAGGACAAGCGACUUUGCAUUAAUUACUAAAAAAUUUCUUAUUCUGGGUAUAGCUUUCUGUAGAAAUCCUACAGAUUGAGUAAACUGUGGAGGCACUCCUUUUCAUGCUCCAUUUAACUUAAAUUAUUAGCUGGUUCAGAAAGUUGUUUCUUCCCAGACUUGUCUAGGAAGUUCAAUAUUUAGCAAUUACCCCUUUGUGCUUCUCGAACCUUCUCCAAGCCAGUGUCGUUGAAGGACAGAUUUGCCAUGUGGGAAGGUGGGCUACCUUGGAAAACAGAUUUUUGGUUCGGAGCUUGUCUGAAACUCU